This 387-nucleotide ribosomal RNA is filed under the name uncultured bacterium. RNAcentral's name for it is "bacterial SSU rRNA". It matches the Rfam family "Bacterial small subunit ribosomal RNA", at positions 29 to 417 of the family's 1533-position model. The record is from RNAcentral.
AUUGAACGCUGGCGGCAUGCUUUACACAUGCAAGUCGAACGGCAGCACGGGGGCAACCCUGGUGGCGAGUGGCGAACGGGUGAGUAAUGCAUCGGAACGUGUCCUGUAAUGGGGGAUAACCUAUCGAAAGGUAGGCUAAUACCGCAUACGUCCUGAGGGAGAAAGCGGGGGCUCGCAAGACCUCGUGUUAUAGGAGCGGCCGAUGUCGGAUUAGCUAGUUGGUGGGGUAAAGGCCUACCAAGGCGACGAUCCGUAGCGGGUCUGAGAGGACGGCCCGCCACACUGGGACUGAGACACGGCCCAGACUCCUACGGGAGGCAGCAGUGGGGAAUUUUGGACAAUGGGGGCAACCCUGAUCCAGCCAUGCCGCGUGAGUGAAGAAGGCCU